AUGAACGCUGGCGGCGUGCUUAACACAUGCAAGUCGCACGGGAUCCAAGGGGUGCUUGCACUUUUUGGUGAGAGUGGCGAACGGGUGAGUAACACGUGAGUAACCUGUCCUUUUCUUUGGGAUAAGCAUUCGAAAGGGUGUUUAAUACCUUAUGUUCUGUCUGCCUCGCAUGGGGUGGGUGGGAAAGGCUUUGGCCGGAUUUGGGUGGGCUCGCGGUCUAUCAGCUUGUUGGUGGGGUGAUGGCUUACCAAGGCUUUGACGGGUAGCCGGCCUGAGAGGGUGGUCGGUCACAUUGGGACUGAGAUACGGCCCAGACUCCUGCGGGAGGCAGCAGUGGGGGAUAUUGCACAAUGGGCGAAAGCCUGAUGCAGCGACGCCGCGUGGGGGAUGAAGGCCUGCGGGUUGUAAACUUCUUUUGCUCUGAACAAGGCAUGCCAGUGGGUGUGUUGAGUGUAGGGGUUGAUUAGCGCCGGCUAACUACGUG
RNAcentral lists this ribosomal RNA (484 nucleotides) under uncultured bacterium. RNAcentral describes it as "partial 16S ribosomal RNA". It matches the Rfam family "Bacterial small subunit ribosomal RNA", at positions 29 to 507 of the family's 1533-position model. The record is from RNAcentral.